RNAcentral lists this ribosomal RNA (544 nucleotides) under uncultured bacterium. RNAcentral describes it as "bacterial SSU rRNA". It matches the Rfam family "Bacterial small subunit ribosomal RNA", at positions 358 to 916 of the family's 1533-position model. The record is from RNAcentral.
GGAAUAUUGCACAAUGGGCGCAAGCCUGAUGCAGCGACGCCGCGUGCGGGAUGACGGCCUUAGGGUUGUAAACCGCUUUCAGCAGGGACGAAAUUGACGGUACCUGCAGAAGAAGCCCCGGCCAACUACGUGCCAGCAGCCGCGGUAAUACGUAGGGGGCAAGCGUUGUCCGGAUUUAUUGGGCGUAAAGAGCUCGUAGGCGGUCUGGUAAGUCGGAUGUGAAAUCUCCACGCUUAACGUGGAGGGGUCAUUCGAAACUGCCAUGGCUAGAGUUUGGUAGAGGAGUGCGGAACUCCCGGUGUAGCGGUGAAAUGCGCAGAUAUCGGGAAGAACACCCGUAGCGAAGGCGGCACUCUGGGCCAAUACUGACGCUGAGGAGCGAAAGCGUGGGGAGCAAACAGGAUUAGAUACCCUGGUAGUCCACGCCGUAAACGUUGGGCACUAGGUGUGGGACUCUAUCGACGGGUUCCGUGCCGUAGCUAACGCAUUAAGUGCCCCGCCUGGGGAGUACGCCGUCAAGGCUAAAACUCAAAGGAAUUGACGG